This is a long non-coding RNA of Neofelis nebulosa (Clouded leopard), 2631 nucleotides long. RefSeq lists it as uncharacterized. The record is from RefSeq and is a predicted model, not a curated record. Lineage: Eukaryota; Metazoa; Chordata; Mammalia; Carnivora; Felidae. The transcript has 3 exons.
ACUCCCCUUCCACCCCACCCGCCACCCACACUCCGCUCCGCAGCCGGGCCCCGAGCGAGCUCCGCGCGCCCGGGCGGGAGCCGAGGGCUCCCCGGGUUCAAAGGGCCGCAGCCCCGAGGGAAUGCCCUCCUCGCUGUGCCCCGAGGGGCAGAAGCGGACCGCAGGGCGGUGGGACCGGCCCGGGCCACGAUGGUGUUCAGUGACAAGACCCAAACUAUUUGCAAAACUCCAGGACAUGCGUCUUUCUGCGGAGAAAAACAGACAUUAUCAAAAGCCUGGAAGGAAUCUUUGACUUUCUCCCAUUUGAACAAACAACAGCUUCAAAGUUGUCGACAGUGUACUAAACAAUGAUACGAGGAUAUCCCCAGAAAGGAAAAUACGCCACGACGAAGUUGUUUCCUGUAUGUGAAUGCUGAGAUUUAAGGAAAUAUCGUGGCUCCCCUUUAACUCACAAAUAAAUUCUUUUUUUUUUUUUUGAACAAUUGCUCCCUUUGAGAUUUGCAAAUAGUUCUACUAGUUUACACAGUUCUUUUUUCCUCCUUCCUUUUAAGUGUACCUCUUAAGUAAGCAGACACUUUAACUUGCCUUCUUAUUAGACAGCUUUUUCUUUAUUGCCUUUUCAUAGCACAGCUAUCAAAAAUAAGAUAAUACGCAAGAUCUGGGACCUAAUCAGCUUUCUAGCUGAGUUUAAAGAGUCUAGAGGCUGUUUAAAGGUAGCUCUGGUUAUGUGUGCGGGCUUUACUGCCUUGUUUGCUCGGCCACAUUUUGAUGGAGAGGGUAAUGUGUUUGCUAGAUAAGGCAAAAGGGACCAGCCAAAAAAGCAAGGCUCUGUUUGAUAAACCCUGACAUAUUUAGCCAUUUUUCUCCCACAUGAAAGGAAGCUUUAAAACUCUAAGAAAAAUAGAGGUGUCAGUUCAAGCACACUAAUGUUGAUCAAGACAAAAAAAAAAAAAGAAGUAAAUAAAGAAAAUGGGCAUCUUUUAGUCUAUUAAAUUAAUUAGCUCCAGAGCUUAUCAUGCAGUUGAAAAGCUGGAUAAAAUACAAGUCUGUUUCUCGUUGUUGUCAUUUGAUGUGAAGGGUGAGUUCUUUAAGUCAGUGUACGUUGAAAAGACAGUUAUUCUGUUCAGCUUGACUUGCCCUGGUAGAAGGUUUGAACCCUGUAUGAAGGAGCUCAUUAAGCAAAGUUAAACUCUUAUAAGGCCGAUCAGCAUGGACUUGGGAUGAGAACUCAGUCUGAAAUUAGGGUUGAACACACAUGAUGACAGUCUUUGUUAAGUGGCCUAUAGCCUGAAAACAGAUUUAAAAAGCCAGAAUCAAAAUAUGUCACCGGACAUCUACCGGUAACUAGAGGUCCAUAGAUAGCUUUACAAUCUGGAGUGAUGUAAAAAUGUUGGAGGUGAAUUAUUGAUUAUCUUAUAAUAAUUUUCCUUUUCUAGAAAAAGUAAAGGAAUAAAAUAUCAGAAAGCUUCACAAAAUAGAGCUGUCUCUCAAAAUGAGACUUGAACUGGUAUAGGUAUAAAAAUAAUUUGGGGCUCAAUUUUUAUACCAUGAUCACUUUCAGUUAAUGUAGAAGGAAAUAUCAACCCUAAAUCAAUAUCCUAGUAAAAUUUUCUUUUUUUUUUUUCUCUAGAAAAGACACUUUUCAGGGCGCCUCGGUGGCUCAGUCGGUUAAGCAUCUGACUUCAGCUCCGGUCAUGAUGUCACAGUUCGUGGGUUCGAGCCCUGUGUUGGGCUCUGUGCUGACAGCUCCGAGUCUGGAGGCUGCUUGGGAUUCUGUGUCUCCCUCUCUCUCUGCCCCUCCCCUGCUUGUGCGUGCGCUCUCUCUCUCUCUCUCUCUCUCUCAAAAGUAAAUAAACAUUUUAAAAAAUUAAAAAAAAAGAAAAGAUAUUUUUCUGAUUUCUUGUUUUCCUAAAUCACAAGUAUUUUUAUUAUUUUAUUUUAUUUUAAGAUUUUAUUUUUUUAAGUAAUCUCUACACCUGAGGCAGAGCUCAGACUCACAAUUCAGAGAUCACGAGUCAUAUGCUACACUGACUGAACCAGCCAGGUGCUCUGAGAGUGGGGUUUUUUUCUUGUUUGUUUUUUAAGAUUUUAUUUUUAGGUAAUCUCUCCACCCAACCUGGUGCUUGAACUCACAACUUGGAAAGAAAGAGUCGCAUGCUCUGCUGACUGAAUCAGCCAGGCGCCCCUAUAGAACGUUAUAAAAUAUAAUCACUUGAAUUUUUAGAACUGUGUUUCUUCUAUAUAUUAAUCAUUUUAAACAUUUUUUAUGGCUUAGUGUUAAUAAUCUCUAUGAGUGUAGAUUUUUAGAUGAAUUUAAUGUCAACUAGGGAUUAAUGUGAAUUAAUUAAAUUGACUGUAUCUUCUUUAAUGAGAAAAAAAGGAUUUAGUUUUAAUACUGAUGAUCUUAAUAAAGCUUCCCUCUACUUAUCUGUAUUUUCUCAACAUUAGGAAUUAUUUUUAUUAGAAGGUGAAUUAAUUUAAUAACGGCAGAGUGGGAAAACUUGAAAUAAAUCAAGUGAUUGCAAACUGACUUUGCUAUUGUUCUUGAGGCUGUGUAAUCAAACCGGAUAACUUUCAAUUAGGAAAGACCCAAUUUGUUGAAGCCACUUAAAAAUAAAAACAUAAAUUGGA